ACAGAAUUAAAAUGUUAAAGUACAGUGGAAGGCAAUGCAGCUCAGCUGUCUUUAUCUACUAUCCAAAAGCAGUUGAAUCUGACAACUCUUAAACCACAAGAAGCACAGAAAAACAAGCACCAAAUAAUAGUAUAUUUUCAAAACAUUCUGACACACAUUCAAUAAACGUCAGCUGCACAACGAAGUGGCACAUUGCUAUGUAUUUCUAGUCAGACUUGGAAGUGACGUAAAAUCUAAUCAUUGUUACUCCAGAGGAGGUGAGAUUUACUGACAAGCUCCCUUUGACUUACCACAAGGCCUGAAAAUGGAAGGAUAACUGAGGACUGCUCAGGAAACCCUCCAGACACAGUACAAGGGAAACAUACAACAGCAUUUCAACUGACAUUUAAUCUAAUUUUUUUAAUUUUUUUUUUUAAACUGCCAGCAACAAAAGGUACAGCUGGGCCCUGAGAACCAAAGAUCAAGAAGAACCUUGGAACAAUAAUGUAAUGAUAAAAAGAGUAGAAAUGGACAUCAUAAUGGAUUAACAGCAAGAAUAAUGCCUGGGACCUAGCAAUUAUCAAAUUAUGUAAUUUGCUGUGAAGCAAUUGCCUUCCACAGUACUUCCGAUUAUCACAGAAACCCUUUACUCUGGUGGUGUCUUUUCAAGGCUUUGCUGUCCAGAAGCAUCAGCUUUGAGAUGGAGCCCAGGGAGAAUGGAAAGGAAAAGCAGGUAGAAAUGUGCUCGACAGCCUGUAGAGCUAGAAACUAACAGAGCUGCCUGCGACAGAGCUUCAGCUGCGCUGAGACAUCACCUAUGGGGUGGAACCACAUACAAUCAAGUUGCUGAGAAAGCUGGGCAGCAGGCACUGAUUAAGACUACCUCUCUAUUACACCUUGCAGUUUGCUGUAGGGUUGGAGCUCUUUAGAGCUUGGGCACCAAAGGGGACUGAUAUAAGGUCUCAAGUAUAAAUCAGACCUACAGAGACAUAAAGGAAAAGAAUUUAAGUUAGUCCUAAAGGUGCAGCUGGAAAACUCUCUGGCAGAGUUGUCCACAUUCCCCCCUGUGCUGGAUAUCAUAAAAGGCACUCACCACCUUUCCAUUCCUCAUUCAAUCUGAACUGAGGCUCCUUUGUACUCACCAGGUGUGGCCUUCAGCUGUGUCAUCUCGUAAUUGCCUAGGAUGUGAUCUACUCCAGGGAUGAAUUAGAGUCACUGAGGAGACUGUGGUUUGUUCUCCGAGACCUCUGCUUUAAAUAUUGCGAAAGUUUACUUUCAGAGCACAUGGACAUGGAAGGAAAAGGGCGUCACUUUACACUGCAGAGAAGCUAGAGAGCUAGACUCCAUCUCCUCCUUGGAAACAGGAAAUUUAAAAAAAAUCAUUAACGGGGUAGAGUAGCAAGGCCAUGCUAAAUAUGACAUAUGAAAUAUGGGUUGAUCAGCAGCACUGUGUUGGCAUAGCUAUGGCUGAAAAUUUAAAAUGAGAACAGACCCAAACUGCAUAUUAAUUUACACACUUGCAUCUACAAAAACUUCACUGUGGACUUACAGAAGGGUAAUG
RNAcentral lists this long non-coding RNA (1540 nucleotides) under Calidris pugnax (ruff). RNAcentral's name for it is "lncRNA (ENSCPUG00000016017.1)". The record is from RNAcentral. Lineage: Eukaryota; Metazoa; Chordata; Aves; Charadriiformes; Scolopacidae.